GUAAGACUGGGAUAACUCCGGGAAACCGGGGCUAAUACCGGAUGCUUGAUUGAACCGCAUGGUUCAAUCAUAAAAGGCGGCUUCGGCUGCCGUUUACAGAUGGACCCGCGGCGCAUUAGCUAGUUGGUGAGGUAACGGCUCACCAAGGCGACGAUGCGUAGCCGACCUGAGAGGGUGAUCGGCCACACUGGGACUGAGACACGGCCCAGACUCCUACGGGAGGCAGCAGUAGGGAAUCUUCCGCAAUGGACGAAAGUCUGACGGAGCAACGCCGCGUGAGUGAUGAAGGUUUUCGGAUCGUAAAGCUCUGUUGUUAGGGAAGAACAAGUACCGUUCGAAUAGGGCGGUACCUUGACGGUACCUAACCAGAAAGCCACGGCUAACUACGUGCCAGCAGCCGCGGUAAUACGUAGGUGGCAAGCGUUGUCCGGAAUUAUUGGGCGUAAAGCGCGCGCAGGCGGUUUCUUAAGUCUGAUGUGAAAGCCCCCGGCUCAACCGGGGAGGGUCAUUGGAAACUGGGGAACUUGAGUGCAGAAGAGGAGAGUGGAAUUCCACGUGUAGCGGUGAAAUGCGUAGAGAUGUGGAGGAACACCAGUGGCGAAGGCGACUCUCUGGUCUGUAACUGACGCUGAGGCGCGAAAGCGUGGGGAGCGAACAGGAUUAGAUACCCUGGUAGUCCACGCCGUAAACGAUGAGUGCUAAGUGUUAGAGGGUUUCCGCCCUUUAGUGCUGCAGCAAACGCAUUAAGCA
This 750-nucleotide ribosomal RNA is filed under the name Bacillus swezeyi. RNAcentral's name for it is "bacterial SSU rRNA". It matches the Rfam family "Bacterial small subunit ribosomal RNA", at positions 132 to 866 of the family's 1533-position model. The record is from RNAcentral. Lineage: Bacteria; Bacillati; Bacillota; Bacilli; Caryophanales; Bacillaceae.